RNAcentral lists this transfer RNA (72 nucleotides) under Millerozyma farinosa. Its description in RNAcentral is "transfer RNA-Asp". It matches the Rfam family "tRNA". From Rfam's summary of the family: Transfer RNA (tRNA) molecules are approximately 80 nucleotides in length. Their secondary structure includes four short double-helical elements and three loops (D, anti-codon, and T loops). Lineage: Eukaryota; Fungi; Ascomycota; Pichiomycetes; Serinales; Debaryomycetaceae. The record is from RNAcentral.
GCUCUAAUAGCUUAAUGGUAAAGCCUUAUAAUGUCACUAUAAGAGAUGACGGUUCAAGCCCGUUUUAGAGCG